GUUAACAGCGGGCAGCGCGCCGCGGUACGACGGAGGUGCGGGGCGUUACGCGGAAUUGUUAGGCGGCAAGCGUGGGCAGGCGGCUCGUGAAGUCUCUUGUGAAAGCCCCGGGCGUAACCCCGGAAGGGUAAAGGAUACUGGCGGGCUUGGAUGUGGGAGAGGUCACUGGAAUUCCUGGUGUAGCGGUGAAAUGCGUAGAUAUCAGGAGGAACACCAAUGGCGAAGGCAGGUGACUGGACCACUAUCGACGCUCAUCCACGAAAGCUGGGGGAUCAAACAGGAUUAGAUACCCGAGUAGUC
RNAcentral lists this ribosomal RNA (300 nucleotides) under uncultured bacterium. RNAcentral describes it as "bacterial SSU rRNA". It matches the Rfam family "Bacterial small subunit ribosomal RNA", at positions 496 to 795 of the family's 1533-position model. The record is from RNAcentral.